This 304-nucleotide ribosomal RNA is filed under the name Synechococcus sp. SB0665_bin_28. RNAcentral describes it as "partial 16S ribosomal RNA". It matches the Rfam family "Bacterial small subunit ribosomal RNA", at positions 1 to 336 of the family's 1533-position model. Lineage: Bacteria; Bacillati; Cyanobacteriota; Cyanophyceae; Synechococcales; Synechococcaceae. RNAcentral also lists the same sequence under 1 other name. The record is from RNAcentral.
AAAACGGAGAGUUUGAUCCUGGCUCAGGAUGAACGCUGGCGGCGUGCUUAACACAUGCAAGUCGAACGAACCUUCGGGUUAGUGGCGGACGGGUGAGUAACGCGUGAGAAUCUGCCCUCAGGAAGGGGAUAACAGUUGGAAACGACUGCUAAUACCCCAUAUGCCGAGAGGUGAAAUGAAUUUCGCCUGGGGAUGAGCUCGCGUCUGAUUAGCUUGUUGGUGGGGUAACGGCCUACCAAGGCCUCGAUCAGUAGCUGGUCUGAGAGGACGAUCAGCCACACUGGGACUGAGACACGGCCCAGAC